Molecule: ribosomal RNA, 1637 nt
Filed under: Clostridioides difficile DA00203
Lineage: Bacteria; Bacillati; Bacillota; Clostridia; Peptostreptococcales; Peptostreptococcaceae
Description: bacterial LSU rRNA
Rfam family: Bacterial large subunit ribosomal RNA
Source: RNAcentral
CAGUAUGGGAGUGAGAAUGUUGGCAUGAGUAGCGAGAUGUGGGUGAGAAUCCCACAGGCCGUAAACCCAAGGUUUCCAGGGGAAGGUUCGUCCGCCCUGGGUUAGUCGGGACCUAAGCUGAGGCCGAAAGGCGUAGGUGAUGGACAACAGGUUGAUAUUCCUGUACUACCGAUAACCGUUUGAGAGAAGGGAUGACACAGUAGGAUAAGCUAAGCACACUGUUGGUUAUGUGUGCCCAAGCAUUGAGGCAGUCAAAGUAGGUAAAUCCGCUUUGAUAAUGCUGGGAUGUGAUGGGGAGCGAAAUUUAGUAGCGAAGUAGCUGAUUUCACACUGUCAAGAAAAGUCUCUAUCGAGGUUAAAAGGUACCCGUACCGCAAACCGACACAGGUGGGUGAGGAGAGUAUCCUAAGGCCAAGCGAGAGAACUGUUGUUAAAGGAACUCGGCAAAAUGACCCCGUAACUUAGGGAUAAGGGGUGCCACCAUCAGGUGGCCGCAGAGAAUAGGCCCAAGCGACUGUUUACCAAAAACAUAGGUUUCUGCUAAGUCGCAAGACGAUGUAUAGGAGCUGACGCCUGCCCGGUGCUGGAAGGUUAAGGGGAUCUGUUAGAGCAAUCGAAGCAGUGAACUUAAGCCCCAGUAAACGGCGGCCGUAACUAUAACGGUCCUAAGGUAGCGAAAUUCCUUGUCGGGUAAGUUCCGACCCGCACGAAAGGCGUAACGAUUUGGGCACUGUCUCAACAACAGACUCGGUGAAAUUGUAAUUCCGGUGAAGAUGCCGGAUACCUGCGACAGGACGGAAAGACCCCAUGGAGCUUUACUGUAGCUUGACAUUGGGUCUUGGUACUACAUGUACAGGAUAGGUGGGAGGCUUUGAAACCAGGACGCCAGUUUUGGCGGAGCCAUCCUUGGGAUACCACCCUUGUAGUACUGGGACUCUAACCAUAGGCCAUGAAUCUGGUCUUGGGACACUGUCAGGUGGGCAGUUUGACUGGGGCGGUCGCCUCCCAAAAGGUAACGGAGGCGCUCAAAGGUUCUCUCAGUACGGUCGGAAAUCGUACGUAGAGUGUAAAGGCAAAAGAGAGCUUGAUUGCAAGACAUACAGGUCGAGCAAGGAUGAAAAUCGGACUUAGUGAUCCGGUGGUUCUGCGUGGAAGGGCCAUCGCUCAACGGAUAAAAGCUACCCUGGGGAUAACAGGCUUAUCUCCCCCAAGAGUCCACAUCGACGGGGAGGUUUGGCACCUCGAUGUCGGCUCAUCACAUCCUGGGGCUGUAGUAGGUCCCAAGGGUUGGGCUGUUCGCCCAUUAAAGUGGUACGCGAGCUGGGUUCAGAACGUCGUGAGACAGUUCGGUCCCUAUCCGUCGCAGGCGUAGGAAAUUUGAGAAGACCUGUCCUUAGUACGAGAGGACCGGGAUGGACGUACCUCUGGUGUACCAGUUGUCCUGCCAAGGGCAUGGCUGGGUAGCUAUGUACGGAAUGGAUAAGCGCUGAAAGCAUCUAAGCGCGAAGCCAACUUCAAGAUAAGAUUUCCCACCGCAAGGGUAAGACCCCAGAAAGACUAUCUGGUUGAUAGGUCGAAGGUGUAAGUGCAGCAAUGUAUUUAGCUUAUCGAUACUAAUAGGUCGAGGACUUGACCAA